This 110-nucleotide ribosomal RNA is filed under the name uncultured bacterium. RNAcentral's name for it is "partial 16S ribosomal RNA". It matches the Rfam family "Bacterial small subunit ribosomal RNA", at positions 406 to 508 of the family's 1533-position model. The record is from RNAcentral.
UGAAGAAGGCCUUCGGGUUGUAAAGCUCUUUCGGCGGGGACAAAACGGCCACUUUUAAUAAAGGUGGUUAAUGAUGGUACCCGAAGAAGAAGCACCGGCUAACUACGUGC